UGGGGGAUAUUGCACAAUGGGCGAAAGCCUGAUGCAGCGACGCCGCGUGGGGGAUGAAGGCCUUCGGGUUGUAAACUUCUUUUGCUCUGAACAAGGCAUGCUAAUGGGUGUGUUGAGUGUAGGGGUUGAUUAGCGCCGGCUAACUACGUGCCAGCAGCCGCGGUAAUACGUAGGGCGCGAGCGUUGUCCGGAAUUAUUGGGCGUAAAGGGCUUGUAGGUGGCUGGUUGCGUCUGUCGUGAAAGCACAUGGCUUAACUGUGGGUUUGCGGUGGGUACGGGCUGGCUUGAGUGCAGUAGUGGAGGCUGGAAUUCCUGGUGUAGCGGUGGAAUGCGCAGAUAUCAGGAGGAGUACCGGUGGCGAAGGCGGGUCUCUGGGCUGUUACUGACACUGAGGAGCGAAAGCAUGGGGAGCGAACAGG
This 419-nucleotide ribosomal RNA is filed under the name bacterium. RNAcentral's name for it is "partial 16S ribosomal RNA". It matches the Rfam family "Bacterial small subunit ribosomal RNA", at positions 355 to 776 of the family's 1533-position model. The record is from RNAcentral.